GCCCGACUAGCUCACCGGUAGAGCGCCUCACUAGUAUAGACAAGCAAUCGAGGCGAUGAGGAGGCAACAGGUUCGACUCCUGUGUUGGGCA
Non-coding RNA from Hypomontagnella submonticulosa, 91 nucleotides. Lineage: Eukaryota; Fungi; Ascomycota; Sordariomycetes; Xylariales; Hypoxylaceae. The record is from the annotation of a GenBank genome assembly.